RNAcentral lists this ribosomal RNA (254 nucleotides) under uncultured bacterium. RNAcentral describes it as "partial 16S ribosomal RNA". It matches the Rfam family "Bacterial small subunit ribosomal RNA", at positions 524 to 776 of the family's 1533-position model. The record is from RNAcentral.
UACGGGGGGAGCAAGCGUUGUUCGGAUUUACUGGGCGUAAAGGGCGCGUAGGCGGUCAGCACAAGUCAGUUGUGAAAUCUCCGGGCUUAACUCGGAAAGGUCAACUGAUACUGUGCGACUAGAGUGCGGAAGGGGCAACUGGAAUUCUCGGUGUAGCGGUGAAAUGCGUAGAUAUCGAGAGGAACACCGGUGGCGAAGGCGGGUCUCUGGGCAGUAACUGACGCUGAGAAGCGAAAGCGUGGGGAGCGAACAGG